This 505-nucleotide ribosomal RNA is filed under the name uncultured bacterium. RNAcentral describes it as "partial 16S ribosomal RNA". It matches the Rfam family "Bacterial small subunit ribosomal RNA", at positions 28 to 507 of the family's 1533-position model. The record is from RNAcentral.
GACGAACGCUGGCGGCGUGCCUAAUACAUGCAAGUAGAACGCACAGUUUAUACCGUAGCUUGCUACACCAUAGACUGUGAGUUGCGAACGUGUGAGUAACGCGUAGGUAACCUGCCUGGUAGCGGGGGAUAACUAUUGGAAACGAUAGCUAAUACCGCAUAAUAUUAAUUAUUGCAUGAUAAUUAAUUGAAAGGUGCAAUUGCACCACUACCAGAUGGACCUGCGUUGUAUUAGCUAGUAGGUGAGGUAACGGCUCACCUAGGCGACGAUACAUAGCCGACCUGGGAGGGGGAUCGGCCACACUGGGACUGAGACACGGCCCAGAAUCCUACGGGAGGCAGCAGUAGGGAAUCUUCGGCAAUGGACGAAAGUCUGACCGAGCAACGCCGCGUGAGUGAAGAAGGUUUUCGGAUCGUAAAGCUCUGUUGUAAGAGAAGAACGGGUGUGAGAGUGGAAAGUUCACACUGUGACGGUAUCUUACCAGAAAGGGACGGCUAACUACGUG